Molecule: ribosomal RNA, 460 nt
Filed under: uncultured bacterium
Lineage: Bacteria
Description: partial 16S ribosomal RNA
Rfam family: Bacterial small subunit ribosomal RNA
Source: RNAcentral
CCUACGUGAGGCAGCAGUGAGGAAUAUUGGUCAAUGGGCGCGAGCCUGAACCAGCCAAGUAGCGUGAAGGAUGACUGCCCUACGGGUUGUAAACUUCUUUUAUAAAGGAAUAAAGUGAGGCACGUGUGCCUUUUUGUAUGUCCUUUAUGAAUAAGGAUCGGCUAACUCCGUGCCAGCAGCCGCGGUAAUACGGAGGGUCCGAGCGUUAUCCGGAUUUAUUGGGUUUAAAGGGAGCGUAGAUGGGUUGUUAAGUCAGUUGUGAAAGUUUGCGGCUCAACCGUAAAAUUGCAAUUGAUACUGGCAGUCUUGAGUACAGUUGAGGUAGGCGGAAUUCGUGGUGUAGCGGUGAAAUGCUUAGAUAUCACGAAGAACUCCGAUUGCGAAGGCAGCUUACUAAACUGCCACUGACAUUGAUGCUCGAAAGUGUGGGUAUCAAACAGGAUUAGAUACCCGUGUAGUC